UUGGGACUCCUGCAAAAUAAAUUAAAGAAUAUUUGAGGUAACCUUACAGCAAAAAAAAACACUUUUUUUUGCAGCUAUUCCUUAAACUUUCUAGUGGAAAGGCUGAAAUGGCUGCGCAUUUCUGAUAUUACUUGCUCAGCGAACAUUAUAACAAGUUGUUGAUCAAAGUCAAUACCUUCUACCUAAAGUAGUUUCCUGCAUUUCGAUGAACACCAACUUAUGUUGCAUAGCCUCCUGAAUGAACUUGGAAAGAAAAGUAGCACCUGAUAUCUCGUUCCAGCACUCUAAUUCUCGCAGCCAAGAAUGCCAAGUUCUGUUCUCCAAGUCUGAUGCCAGC
RNAcentral lists this long non-coding RNA (337 nucleotides) under Selaginella moellendorffii. Its description in RNAcentral is "long non-coding RNA (SMOE_LNC000552)". Lineage: Eukaryota; Viridiplantae; Streptophyta; Lycopodiopsida; Selaginellales; Selaginellaceae. The record is from RNAcentral.